This 264-nucleotide long non-coding RNA is filed under the name Physcomitrium patens. RNAcentral describes it as "long non-coding RNA (PPAT_LNC007647)". Lineage: Eukaryota; Viridiplantae; Streptophyta; Bryopsida; Funariales; Funariaceae. The record is from RNAcentral.
UUGAAGUUGAAGAAGAAGCUUCAAAACCAUCAUUACUAAACUUCACUAAAGUUUUUAGAAAGUUCUAAUUUUAAUUCACUCUAAAUCAUAUGAGAUGAUUGUAGGUGAACUCAUAGGCUCACAAUCAAUCUUUAUAGCAAUGAUUAAAAACCUCUAAAUUAUUAAAAUUAAUCAAAUUACUAUUCUAAUUUAAUAAUCUUUAUCAUUUUACUCUUAAUUAACCUAACUCAAGGAAUCAAGCUAGGAUUUAUACCAUCAAAGGUU